This 224-nucleotide unclassified non-coding RNA is filed under the name air metagenome. RNAcentral describes it as "partial contains small subunit ribosomal RNA, internal transcribed spacer 1, and 5.8S ribosomal RNA". The stretch from base 1 to 46 matches the Rfam family "Eukaryotic small subunit ribosomal RNA", at positions 1786 to 1831 of the family's 1831-position model. The record is from RNAcentral.
AAGUCGUAACAAGGUCUCCGUAGGUGAACCUGCGGAGGGAUCAUUACAGAGUGAGGGUCCUCUGACCCGACCUCCAACCCUUUUGUGAACCGAAACUGUUGCUUCGGGGGCGACCCUGCCGUCCGCGGACGGGCGCCCCCGGAGACCAAUCAACUCUGCAUUAAAGUAGUCGUCUGAGUUUAAACAAAUAAACAAAACUUUCAACAACGGAUCUCUUGGUUCUG